RNAcentral lists this ribosomal RNA (253 nucleotides) under uncultured bacterium. Its description in RNAcentral is "partial 16S ribosomal RNA". It matches the Rfam family "Bacterial small subunit ribosomal RNA", at positions 524 to 776 of the family's 1533-position model. The record is from RNAcentral.
UACGUAGGGUGCAAGCGUUGUCCGGAAUCAUUGGGCGUAAAGAGCGUGUAGGCGGUCCGGUAAGUCCGCUGUGAAAGUCGGGGGCUCAACCCUCGAAUGCCGGUGGAUACUGUCGGGCUAGAGUGCGGAAGAGGCGAGUGGAAUUCCUGGUGUAGCGGUGAAAUGCGUAGAUAUUGGGAAGAACACCUGAGGCGAAGGCGGGUUGCUGGGCCGACACUGACGCUGAGGCGCGAAAGCCAGGGGAGCAAACGGG